CCUACGGGAGGCUGCAGUAGGGAAUCUUUCACAAUGGGCGAAAGCCUGAUGGAGCAACGCCGCGUGCAGGUUGAAGGCCUUCGGGUUGUAAACUGCUUUUAUAAGCGAGAUAUAUGAUGGUAACUUAUGAAUAAGGAUCGGCUAACUACGUGCCAGCAGCCGCGGUCAUACGUAGGCUCCGAGCAUUAUCCGGACUUACUGGGUGUAAAGGGAGCGUAGACGGCAGUGCAAGUCUGGAGUGAAAGGCGGGGGCUCAACCCCCGGACUGCUCUGGAAACUGUACAGCUGGAGUGCAGGAGAGGUAAGUGGAAUUCCUAGUGUAGCGGUGAAAUGCGUAGAUAUUAGGAGGAACACCAGUGGCGAAGGCGGUCUGCUGGACAGCAACUGACGCUGAGGCGCGAAAGCGUGGGGAGCAAACAGGAUGAGAUACCCCAGUAGUC
This 440-nucleotide ribosomal RNA is filed under the name uncultured bacterium. RNAcentral describes it as "partial 16S ribosomal RNA". It matches the Rfam family "Bacterial small subunit ribosomal RNA", at positions 338 to 795 of the family's 1533-position model. The record is from RNAcentral.